Thunnus maccoyii (southern bluefin tuna) is the source of this 1311-nucleotide long non-coding RNA. RefSeq lists it as uncharacterized. The record is from RefSeq and is a predicted model, not a curated record. The transcript is spliced from 5 exons. Lineage: Eukaryota; Metazoa; Chordata; Actinopteri; Scombriformes; Scombridae.
UGACUGUGAAAUAGAAUUUGGAAUUCAACUUAUGCUGAUAUGCCACCCAGAUAGGUGAAUUGACAUUUGGCGAUGCGAAAUGUGCUUAAAUGAGGAAAGAAAUUGAGGUUAGUGUAUUCAAUUUCGUAAAAUAUGCUGCAUAGGCUAUUUGUUCUUUAGUUAAUAUGUGCACCUGAGGCCCCAGCAAUAGGCUUGAAAAGGUGAAGGGAGAGAACAGAGUAGGAGCAGCAAGGGGCGGUCAGAGCCGAGAACUGGAAGGCAGUCUGGGCCAUGGAGAGGUUGACUGACAGUGAUCCCCUCAAGCGGUUCCAUGCUUGCUGGUUGCUUUACAGGAUUUUGGAGUGCCAUCAUGACAAGAUGGUGGCAGCUGUUGUGCAGAGGAUUCACCUGAGAGGUGUAGAGGGAGACAGCAAGGGUACGUCUUAUGAUUCCCGCCACAAUGCGUCAAGUAUCAGCAGGAUUUUCUUCAAUGAUCUCUGCCUCAUCCACAAAAGACGGAAUCGGAUAUACUGAAAUAAGCGCUGACAGAAGAGAGAUGACAGGAAAUGAGUGGAAGAUGGAGAAUGACAUGCAACAAAGGUCAACAAAGGCUCAAGGUCAGUGCCUUAAAACUCCUAGACCACCAGGGGGUCAAACCUUACUCAUGCAAAAGAUGUUGUAGAACAUAGGCGAAUAUUCUACCAGCUACCAGGAAGGGAAUAACCACCUCACUUACUGCACACUGGUUUCCUGAGGUCAUCUGACUGUUUGUUAAUGACUUCAUGGAGCUAUGAAUGGUGAGGGAGUCAGCCGGGGGUGGAGUGCAAAAAUCAAUGCUGAUAAAAGAAAAUGGCUCCCUCUCAGCAGAGUAGACUGAACAAGACGAGGAGGAAAAUAUGCGAGAGCACUGUGCAACAGGGAAUAUCCAUUUUCUCACCCAAAUGUGAUCUGCUUUUGUUGAAAUGAAAUCAGUGUGAUCGCUCUAUUUCUCAACAUAAAUGAAUGAUUUCUUACCAUGUUGGAGCACAGAGAAUUCUACAGCAUCAGUCUGUCACUACUCUGUGUUUUCUAUCUCUAAAGUGAUAAAAACGCAACUCUGCUCUGAAUUUCCCUGCCUUUUAUCAGGAGAAGCGAUGUGGACAAAGUUCCCCUGAGGGCCGUGAAUACAGAGACUGAAGAUAGGAGACUACUCACCAUCAUUCUUUGGAGAAUACAGCCCCACUCACACAGGAAUAAUAUUAACUGGGGGCCUGUGAUUUUUAAUAAUUGCAGAGGUCAUCUGUUUUCUCAGUCCUAUGUGAAUCUGUCAUGUCAUGUGACCUAUAAAGUAAA